AGUUCCCAAAAUAAUUAUUGCCUACAUGAUUUGAGGCAAGAGAAGAAAUUACCAUGUAAUACUUGCUUAUUUUACCUCCUCCUACAGAACUUCUAAUUAAUAUUAAUAUAAUUUUGUGUUGUUGAGAAAUUACUGCUUUUCUUAAGGGACACACUUACAAUUAAAAAGUCUAGGUAUCUCCAGGCUAUCUUCUCCAACCAACAUUGACAUGUUUGAGAUAUUCAUCCCAGGAGAAACUAAAGGUUUAUGUUCAAAUUUGAGCAAAAGCAUUGCUCUUCAUAGAUGGCACCAAUUCUUUGGACCAACUUCUCUUGGCAGCAAGUUGUCCCGCGGUGAGUUGGUCAUGAUAAGUUGGCUGCGACGAGUUGGCUGUGACCUGUGAAGAUCAUAAAUUCAAGGUUCGGUUGUAAAGUUAUUUUUUCAUCACCAUCAUAAUUGUGAUUAACCAAGACGGUUGCUAAAUAAGGUCUACGUGUAUUGUGAGGGACUCAACCUUAUUCUGGCAGUCAUGCUAAUAGCUUUUAAGACUAAACAAAUCCUAUGCAAGCAUGCACAAGUUUGUAAAAAUAUAUGAAAACUCAUUCUGGAUAUAGCUGAAGAUCCAUUUAACCUCACUUUUUGGUCAAC
Long non-coding RNA from Crotalus tigris (Tiger rattlesnake), 627 nucleotides. RefSeq lists it as uncharacterized. The record is from RefSeq and is a predicted model, not a curated record. Lineage: Eukaryota; Metazoa; Chordata; Lepidosauria; Squamata; Viperidae. The transcript has 3 exons.